GCUAAUACCGGAUAACAACAGAUGAUGCCUAUCAAACUGUUUAAAAGAUGGUUCUGCUAUCACUCUUGGAUGGGACCUGCGGUGCAUUAGCUAGUUGGUAGGGUAACGGCCUACCAAGGCGAUGAUGCAUAGCCCGAGUUGAGAGACUGAUCGGGCCACAUUGGGGACUGAGACACGGGCCCAAACUCCUACGGGAGGCAGCAGUAGGGAAUCUUCCACAAUGGACGCAAGUCUGAUGGAGCAAACGCCGCGUGAGUGAAGAAGGGUUUCGGCUCGUAAAAAGCUCUGUUGUUGGUGAAGAAGGACAGGGGUAGUAACUGACCCUUUGUUUGACGGUAAUCAAUUAGAAAGUCACGGGCUAACUACGUGCCAGCAGCCGCGGUAAAU
RNAcentral lists this ribosomal RNA (387 nucleotides) under uncultured Lactobacillus sp. Its description in RNAcentral is "bacterial SSU rRNA". It matches the Rfam family "Bacterial small subunit ribosomal RNA", at positions 162 to 525 of the family's 1533-position model. The record is from RNAcentral. Lineage: Bacteria; Bacillati; Bacillota; Bacilli; Lactobacillales; Lactobacillaceae.